AGUCUCUUAAAGACUGUUCUCAGUUCGGACUGCAGUCUGCAACUCGACUGCACGAAGCUGGAAUCGCUAGUAAUCGCGGAUCAGCACGCCGCGGUGAAUACGUUCCCGGGCCUUGUACACACCGCCCGUCACACCAUGGAAGUCUGCAAUGCCCGAAGCCGGUGGCCUAACCACUUAUGUGGAAGGAGCCGUCUAAGGCAGGGCAGAUGACUGGGGUGAAGUCGUAACAAGGUAAC
RNAcentral lists this ribosomal RNA (236 nucleotides) under uncultured bacterium. Its description in RNAcentral is "partial 16S ribosomal RNA". It matches the Rfam family "Bacterial small subunit ribosomal RNA", at positions 1270 to 1500 of the family's 1533-position model. The record is from RNAcentral.